CCUACGGGUUGCAGCAGUGGGGAAUAUUGCACAAUGGGCGCAAGCCUGAUGCAGCCAUGCCGCGUGUAUGAAGAAGGCCUUCGGGUUGUAAAGUACUUUCAGUCGUGAGGAAGGUUCAUACGUUAAUAGCGUAUGGAUUUGACGUUAGCGACAGAAGAAGCACCGGCUAACUCCGUGCCAGCAGCCGCGGUAAUACGGAGGGUGCGAGCGUUAAUCGGAAUUACUGGGCGUAAAGCGCAUGCAGGUGGUUAGUUAAGUCAGAUGUGAAAGCCCGGGGCUCAACCUCGGAAUUGCAUUUGAAACUGGCUGACUAGAGUACUGUAGAGGGGGGUAGAAUUUCAGGUGUAGCGGUGAAAUGCGUAGAGAUCUGAAGGAAUACCGGUGGCGAAGGCGGCCCCCUGGACAGAUACUGACACUCAGAUGCGAAAGCGUGGGGAGCAAACAGGAUUAGAUACCCGUGUAGUC
RNAcentral lists this ribosomal RNA (465 nucleotides) under uncultured bacterium. Its description in RNAcentral is "bacterial SSU rRNA". It matches the Rfam family "Bacterial small subunit ribosomal RNA", at positions 338 to 795 of the family's 1533-position model. The record is from RNAcentral.